Aedes albopictus (Asian tiger mosquito) is the source of this 72-nucleotide non-coding RNA. The record is from Rfam. Lineage: Eukaryota; Metazoa; Arthropoda; Insecta; Diptera; Culicidae.
AGCGCAAUAGCUUAGUUGGUAAAGCACUUGUCUAGCGAAUAAGGGUCGUGAGUUCAAAUCUCACCUGAGCUG